UAGGGAAUCUUCGGCAAUGGACGAAAGUCUGACCGAGCAACGCCGCGUGAGUGAAGAAGGUUUUCGGAUCGUAAAACUCUGUUGUUAGAGAAGAACAAGGACGUUAGUAACUGAACGUCCCCUGACGGUAUCUAACCAGAAAGCCACGGCUAACUACGUGCCAGCAGCCGCGGUAAUACGUAGGUGGCAAGCGUUGUCCGGAUUUAUUGGGCGUAAAGCGAGCGCAGGCGGUUUCUUAAGUCUGAUGUGAAAGCCCCCGGCUCAACCGGGGAGGGUCCUUGGAAACUGGGAGACUUGAGGGCAGAAGAGGAGAGUGGAAUUCCAUGUGUAGAGGUGAAAUGCGUAGAUAUAUGGAGGAACACCAGUGGCGAAGGCGGCUCUCUGGUCUGUUACUGACGCUGAGGCUCGAAAGCGUGGGGAGCAAACAGG
Molecule: ribosomal RNA, 429 nt
Filed under: Gemmatimonadota bacterium
Lineage: Bacteria; Pseudomonadati; Gemmatimonadota
Description: Gemmatimonadetes bacterium partial 16S ribosomal RNA
Rfam family: Bacterial small subunit ribosomal RNA
Source: RNAcentral